UGCGCCUUGCCAGCCCGCUCAGAAACUUAAAGGAAUUGACGGGGGCCCGCACAAGCGGAGGAGCAUGUGGUUUAAUUCGAUGAUACGCGAGGAACCUUACCUGGGCUCGAACGUAAGAUGACUGUAGGUGAAAGCUUACAUCUCUUCGGAGCAUUUUACGAGGUGCUGCAUGGUUGUCGUCAGCUCGUGCCGUGAGGUGUCGGGUUAAGUCCCAUAACGAGCGCAACCCCUACCUUUAGUUGCCAUCGGGUUAAGCUGGGGACUCUAAAGGAACUGCCUACGCAAGUAGUGAGGAAGGCGGGGAUGACGUCAAAUCAGCACGGCCCUUACGUCCAGGGCUACACACGUGCUACAAUGGCCGAUACAGAGGGCAGCUACCUGGUGACAGGAUGCAAAUCUCCAAAGUCGGUCUCAGUUCGGAUCGGAGUCUGCAACCCGACUCCGUGAAGUUGGAUUCGCUAGUAAUCGCGCAUCAGCCAUGGCGCGGUGAAUACGUUCCCGGGCCUU
This 507-nucleotide ribosomal RNA is filed under the name uncultured Sphingobacteriales bacterium. Its description in RNAcentral is "bacterial SSU rRNA". It matches the Rfam family "Bacterial small subunit ribosomal RNA", at positions 903 to 1382 of the family's 1533-position model. The record is from RNAcentral. Lineage: Bacteria; Pseudomonadati; Bacteroidota; Sphingobacteriia; Sphingobacteriales.